Molecule: long non-coding RNA, 1934 nt
Filed under: Hordeum vulgare
Lineage: Eukaryota; Viridiplantae; Streptophyta; Magnoliopsida; Poales; Poaceae
Description: long non-coding RNA (HVUL_LNC017028)
Source: RNAcentral
UUAUCUUGAUACAGGAAUUAUAAUAAUAACUAUACAUUUAUUAUUGCCUCUAGGGCAUAAUUCCAACACAGAAAUGAACUCCACAUAAACCAUGGGUUGUCCAUACAUGGAGUUAUUGGUAUUGCUUGCAAAACCCAUGUACGACGCCCAUGCUCUUUCACCAGUAACCCGUCGCAGAACCCAACGAUUUCCUCCCUCAACCACGAAAGCCUCCAGGGUCAUUUUUUUUCAUUCAUCGCUGAACCAAACACCGAUCGGAUGCACCUUCUAACUGCCGCAUACUCUACAUUAACCAUGUCUUUCACUACAACCGUAGUCAUCCCGCACCUAGACACAUCCACACCAGAAGGACCCUCACGUACGAUGUGCCCAUAAAACACUAACAAAUUUUCCAUAGUACCUAACGAGCAGCCAUAUUUACAUCGUUAGUCCAUUAAAAAUCAUAUUUUUAUAUUUACAUUGUAAUAACAACAUCCAUUACUUAUCUUUUUUACAUAUAACAAUUUAACAACAUCCAUUACAUCUACGCAUAAUAAUUUAUAUUGUAUCAUUUAUCGUGACACUACAUCUAUAAAAUAAAUAGAAGAUGAAUUACAAUAUGUCAUUCAUACCUCUGGUUUAAAUAAGAAUAUCCUUCCGAAUAUAAUAUAUCACCAGAAUAAUAUCAGCGAAUUCCACCUAUUUUCAUAUGAACAAAAAUAUUACAUACAUAAUUAUUUCCGUACUACCAAAAGUCUAAAAAUACAUACUGCAUGCAUAUAUAUAUAUAUAUAUCACGAGUCAUAUUUCUACGGGGUUGACAAAUUAUCAAAUAAACAAAUAUAUUACACACGCGUCUUGCAUGUAAUAAUACUAAUGGAGCUAACAUAUUAUUACAUGUUUUUUACAAAAAUGCUAGUUACAUAGGCAUUUUUCCGGCUCCUUUCUAAAUACCAGUUGCAUGCAAACACGAACAAAUCAUCGGUAAUAUAUGAACAUAGUCGACCUAUUAUCACAUGAACACAAAUAUGAACAAAGUCUCAUACCUUGAUCUUCAACUUAGUAGUUCAUAUCGCAUGACAAAAUAGUUCCACAAAAGUGAUAAUACGCUCCCUAAGACAAAAGAAAACACAUACUUAGAAACUAAUCAAACAAAAUAAAAACAUCAUGCAUGCAAACACGACCAACACAAAUGGAAAGCUCUUACCUUGAUCUAUCUUUUCUUCAACUACAACGUCUUCCAAAUAGUUCCACAAAAGUGAUAAUACGCUCCCUAAGACAAAAGAAAAAACAUACUUAGAAACUAAUCAAACGAAAUAAAUACAUCAUGCAUGCAAACACAAGCAACAGAUAUGGAAAGCUCUUACCUUGAUCUAUCUUUUCUUCAACUACAACGUCUUCAAAAUCUAACUUUAAACCGUCCUAAAUCGCCACAUAAACAUUCAUACGGAGUAGCUCUUGAGAGAAAGAGAAGAGAGUGAGAAAGAGAAAGAGAAGAGAGUGACACGGGAGGCAACGGCAGGAGAAGAGAGUGAGAGAGGAGGCAGCGACGCGGUUCGCUUAUAAAGAAGAAGUUUCGCACUGUUUCGUCGGUGGAGAGCGGGAAAAAUUCCCACUGUUUCGUCGGUUCGAGCGGAAAAGGAGCCUAGGAAUCAGCGCAAUCAGCAACAGUGCCGGCCGCGCGGAAACAGUGCCCUGGCCGCCUGCUCCCGAGGCGGCAGGGCCCACCCUGCUUUGUCCGUUACGGACAGGAGUGGGCGGGAACGGGAUCCCGCGCUGGCCGCCUCAGCCGGUGGCGGCAGGCCCUACGGCCGCCUCGUGCGGUGGCGGCAGGGGCCACGUGCCGCCUGGCGCGCCUGCCGUCACCCGGGGUGGGGGUCUUUUUUUUCCUUUCCACUCGCAGGUGGUCUAUUUUGACAAUCUCAUUCGACAGAGGGUCCUUUUGGACAAAAAUU